This 739-nucleotide ribosomal RNA is filed under the name uncultured archaeon. RNAcentral describes it as "bacterial SSU rRNA". It matches the Rfam family "Archaeal small subunit ribosomal RNA", at positions 741 to 1477 of the family's 1478-position model. The record is from RNAcentral.
GUAGUCCUGGCUGUAAACUCUGCCCGCUUGGUGUGGCUUGUACUUCGGGUGCAGGCUGUGCCGGAGCGAAGGUGUUAAGCGGGCUGCUUGGGGAGUACGGCCGCAAGGUUGAAACUUAAAGGAAUUGGCGGGGGAGCACCGCAACGGGAGGAUGCGUGCGGUUUAAUUGGAUUCAACGCCGGAAAACUCACCUGAGGCGACCAGCGUAUGUGGGUCAGGCCGAAGACCUUACUCGAACAAAAGCUGGAGAGGUGGUGCAUGGCCAUCGUCAGCUCGUACCGUAGGGCAUUCACUUAAGUGUGAUAACGAGCGAGACCCCCAUCCCUAGUUGCCAACUUUUCCGAAAGGAAGGGUGCACUCUAGGGAGACCGCUUCUGCUAAAGAAGAGGAAGGAGGGGUCGACGGUAGGUCAGUAUGCCCCGAAUCCUCAGGGCUACACGCGCGCUACAAAGGACAGGACAAAGGGCUCCAACCCCGAAAGGGGAAGGUAAUCCCAAAACCUGUUCGUAGUCCGGAUUGAGGGCUGUAACUCGCCCUCAUGAAGAUGGAUUCCGUAGUAAUCGCGGAUCAACAGUCCGCGGUGAAUAUGCCCCUGCUCCUUGCACACACCGCCCGUCAAACCAUCCGAGUUGGUUUUGGGUGAGGCCCUGUCGUUGUGGCAGGUUCGAACCCAAGGUCGGCGAGGGGGGUUAAGUCGUAACAAGGUAUCCGUAGGGGAACCUGCGGCUGGAUCACCUCC